This 28-nucleotide non-coding RNA is filed under the name Homo sapiens (human). The record is from RNAcentral. Lineage: Eukaryota; Metazoa; Chordata; Mammalia; Primates; Hominidae.
UCCACAGGGAUGUUUGAAACCAAUGAUA